AAUGAACGCUGGCGGCAUGCCUAACACAUGCAAGUCGAACGAAGGCUUCGGCCUUAGUGGCGCACGGGUGCGUAACGCGUGGGAAUCUGCCCCUUGGUUCGGAAUAACAGUUAGAAAUGACUGCUAAUACCGGAUGAUGACGUAAGUCCAAAGAUUUAUCGCCGAGGGAUGAGCCCGCGUAGGAUUAGCUAGUUGGUGUGGUAAGAGCGCACCAAGGCGACGAUCCUUAGCUGGUCUGAGAGGAUGAUCAGCCACACUGGGACUGAGACACGGCCCAGACUCCUACGGGAGGCAGGAGUGGGGAAUAUUGGACAAUGGGCGAAAGCCUGAUCCAGCCAUGCCGCGUGAGUGAUGAAGGCCUUAGGGUUGUAAAGCUCUUUUACCCGGGAUGAUAAUGACAGUACCGGGAGAAUAAGCUCCGGCUAACUCCGUG
RNAcentral lists this ribosomal RNA (433 nucleotides) under uncultured bacterium. RNAcentral describes it as "partial 16S ribosomal RNA". It matches the Rfam family "Bacterial small subunit ribosomal RNA", at positions 29 to 507 of the family's 1533-position model. The record is from RNAcentral.